CACAUGGCCUGUGUAGGAAUCAUAGGACAGCUGAGGACAACGGGUUCUCUCCUUGCACAGGGUGGGACUGAACUCCGGUCGACGGUCUCUGACUGCAAGCUCCUCUACUCGCUGAGCCGGCUCCACAACCCUCCCUGUGGUUUCCCAAUACCAGCACCCUUUGCUGGUCUAACCUAAACACCUCGUAAAGGCAUUUCCCGCUCCACAAUACUAUGGAGGUAGAGGACUGAGCUUCCCAAGGAGAGAAGACAAUGUUUAAAUUUAGCUAUGUGGAAGAAAGCAGCCUCAAGCUGCUUCUGAAUCGGAAACAAGGCAGAGCCGUACUUACUUCUAAAAGCCAACAGCUGCUCAGACUGAACCACUUCCUCCCGCUUACACAUUUUCAGAGCAACACUCUCGAAUACAUACAUACUGUUAGAACAAAGGAACAAACUGAAACUAAGACAUCGAGGGAUGCUCUCGGGGCUCGGGUUACAGCGUGUGAGUGAUGGUUCAGACUUGUGACUUCAGCACUGGAGAAGCUGAGGCAGAAGAGGCCAGCUUGGGCAACAGAAUGACAGUUUGCCUUUUAAAGAAAAGUUGAAGGGGCUGGUGAGAUGGCUCAACAGUUAAGAGCACUGACUGCUCUUCCAGACAGUCCUGAGUUCAAAUCCCAGCAACCACAUGGUGGCUCACAAACUCCUGUACUGGGAUCUGAUGCCCUCUUCUGGCAUACAGUCUCCUUAUCAGUGUAAAGAAGAGCUGUUCACCACCACCAUCUGCUCCAGUCCUGCAGGUCCGGGUCAACCUCUCAGGCUGGGUUAGGGUUAGGGUUAGGGUUAGGG
Long non-coding RNA from Apodemus sylvaticus (European woodmouse), 824 nucleotides. RefSeq lists it as uncharacterized. NCBI's taxonomy places the organism in Eukaryota, Metazoa, Chordata, Mammalia, Rodentia, Muridae. The transcript has 3 exons. The record is from RefSeq and is a predicted model, not a curated record.